Long non-coding RNA from Zootermopsis nevadensis, 202 nucleotides. RefSeq lists it as uncharacterized. The record is from RefSeq and is a predicted model, not a curated record. Lineage: Eukaryota; Metazoa; Arthropoda; Insecta; Blattodea; Termopsidae.
CGGAUGGCCAGUGUCGUGCAGAAUUGGAGAAGUAGUUAGGUUAGAUUGGCCAAUCCAACUUACUAACAUAAUGUAUAUACAUCGUUUACCACUUACAACAGUGUACGUGGGUUGGAUGACCGUGGUUCCAUCCCUGGCAGGUUGAAGCUGUCUUCUAGACCAGAGGUCUCCAAACUAAAAAAACAUAGCACGCACCCCCGGA